RNAcentral lists this ribosomal RNA (253 nucleotides) under uncultured bacterium. Its description in RNAcentral is "partial 16S ribosomal RNA". It matches the Rfam family "Bacterial small subunit ribosomal RNA", at positions 524 to 776 of the family's 1533-position model. The record is from RNAcentral.
UACGUAGGGGGCUAGCGUUGUUCGGAAUUACUGGGCGUAAAGCGCACGUAGGCGGCUUUGUAAGUUAGAGGUGAAAGCCCGGGGCUCAACUCCGGAAUUGCCUUUAAGACUGCAUCGCUAGAAUUGUGGAGAGGUAAGUGGAAUUCCGAGUGUAGAGGUGAAAUUCGUAGAUAUUCGGAAGAACACCAGUGGCGAAGGCGACUUACUGGACACAUAUUGACGCUGAGGUGCGAAAGCGUGGGGAGCGAACAGG